CCUACGGGUGGCAGCAGUGAGGAAUAUUGGUCAAUGGACGAGAGUCUGAACCAGCCAAGUAGCGUGAAGGAUGACUGCCCUAUGGGUUGUAAACUUCUUUUAUAUGGGAAUAAAAUGUUCCACGUGUGGGAUUUUGUAUGUACCAUAUGAAUAAGGAUCGGCUAACUCCGUGCCAGCAGCCGCGGUAAUACGGAGGAUCCGAUCGUUAUCCGGAUUUAUUGGGUGUAAAGGGAGCGUAGGUGGAUUGUUAAGUCAGUUGUGAAAGUUUGCGGCUCAACCGUAAAAUUGCAGUUGAAACUGGCAGUCUUGAGUACAGUAGAGGUGGGCGGAAUUCGUGGUGUAGCGGUGAAAUGCUUAGAUAUCACGAAGAAUUCCGAUUGCGAAGGCAGUUCACUGGACUGCAACUGACACUGAGGCUCGAAAGUGUGGGUAUCAAACAGGAUUAGAUACCCCUGUAGUC
RNAcentral lists this ribosomal RNA (460 nucleotides) under uncultured bacterium. Its description in RNAcentral is "partial 16S ribosomal RNA". It matches the Rfam family "Bacterial small subunit ribosomal RNA", at positions 338 to 795 of the family's 1533-position model. The record is from RNAcentral.